GACGAACGCUGGCGGCGUGCUUAACACAUGCGAGUCGAACGGAAAGGCCCUGCUUUUGUGGGGUGCUCGAGUGGCGAACGGGUGAGUAACACGUGAGUAACCUGCCCUUGACUUUGGGAUAACUUCAGGAAACUGGGGCUAAUACCGGAUAGGAGCUCCUGCUACAUGGUGGGGGUUGGAAAGUUUCGGCGGUUGGGGAUGGACUCGCGGCUUAUCAGCUUGUUGGUGGGGUAGUGGCUUACCAAGGCUUUGACGGGUAGCCGGCCUGAGAGGGUGACCGGCCACAUUGGGACUGAGAUACGGCCCAGACUCCUACGGGAGGCAGCAGUGGGGAAUAUUGCACAAUGGGCGGAAGCCUGAUGCAGCAACGCCGCGUGCGGGAUGACGGCCUUCGGGUUGUAAACCGCUUUCGCCUGUGACGAAGCGUGAGUGACGGUAAUGGGUAAAGAAGCACCGGCUAACUACGUG
RNAcentral lists this ribosomal RNA (468 nucleotides) under uncultured bacterium. RNAcentral describes it as "partial 16S ribosomal RNA". It matches the Rfam family "Bacterial small subunit ribosomal RNA", at positions 28 to 507 of the family's 1533-position model. The record is from RNAcentral.